RNAcentral lists this ribosomal RNA (390 nucleotides) under uncultured bacterium. RNAcentral's name for it is "bacterial SSU rRNA". It matches the Rfam family "Bacterial small subunit ribosomal RNA", at positions 28 to 419 of the family's 1533-position model. The record is from RNAcentral.
GACGAACGCUGGCGGCGUGCUUAACACAUGCAAGUCGAGCGGAAAGGCCCUUCGGGGUACUCGAGCGGCGAACGGGUGAGUAACACGUGAGUAACCUGCCCUGGACUUUGGGAUAACCCUCGGAAACGGGGGCUAAUACCGGAUAUGACACACAUUCGCAUGGGUUGUGUGUGGAAAGUUUUUCGGUCUGGGAUGGGCUCGCGGCCUAUCAGCUUGUUGGUGGGGUGAUGGCCUACCAAGGCGGACGACGGGUAGCCGGCCUGAGAGGGCGACCGGCCACACUGGGACGUGAGACACGGCCCACGACUCCUGCGGGAGGCAGCAGUGGGGAAUAUUGCACAAUGGGCGGAAGCCUGAUGCAGCGACGCCGCGUGGAGGACGAAGGCCCUC